CGGAAGCGGAGACCAUGUUCCGAGCGGCGGCUCCGGGGCAGCUCCGGCGGGCGGCCUCAUUGCUACGAUUUCAGAGUACCCUGGUAAUAGCUGAGCAUGCAAAUGAUUCCCUAGCACCCAUUACUUUAAAUACCAUUACUGCAGCCACACGCCUUGGAGGUGAAGUGUCCUGCUUAGUAGCUGGAACCAAAUGUGACAAGAGGAACUGACACCAUUGAUUUUGGCAACUCAGAAGCAGUUCAAUUACACACACAUCUGUGCUGGAGCAUCUGCCUUCGGAAAGAACCUUUUGCCCAGAGUAGCAGCCAAACUUGAGGUUGCCCCGAUUUCUGACAUCAUUGCAAUCAAGUCACCUGACACAUUUGUGAGAACUAUUUAUGCAGGUGAGUACUCAAGGAAGAUAAUUAAUCAACAUGUUAAAUUUUAGUGAAAAGCAUAAAUUAAUCUUGAAGAUAGAAUUU
This 461-nucleotide long non-coding RNA is filed under the name Homo sapiens (human). RNAcentral describes it as "non-protein coding lnc-SCAPER-3:1". Lineage: Eukaryota; Metazoa; Chordata; Mammalia; Primates; Hominidae. The record is from RNAcentral.